Molecule: ribosomal RNA, 253 nt
Filed under: uncultured Acidobacteriota bacterium
Lineage: Bacteria; Pseudomonadati; Acidobacteriota
Description: uncultured Acidobacteria bacterium partial 16S ribosomal RNA
Rfam family: Bacterial small subunit ribosomal RNA
Source: RNAcentral
UACGGGGGGGGCAAGCGUUGUUCGGAAUUACUGGGCGUAAAGGGCUCGUAGGUGGCCAACUAAGUCAUACGUGAAAUCCCUCGGCUUAACCGGGGAACUGCGUCUGAUACUGGAUGGCUCGAGGUUGGGAGAGGGACGCGGAAUUCCAGGUGUAGCGGUGAAAUGCGUAGAUAUCUGGAGGAACACCGGUGGCGAAGGCGGCGUCCUGGACCAAUUCUGACACUGAGGAGCGAAAGCCAGGGGAGCAAACGGG